RNAcentral lists this ribosomal RNA (274 nucleotides) under uncultured bacterium. Its description in RNAcentral is "partial 16S ribosomal RNA". It matches the Rfam family "Bacterial small subunit ribosomal RNA", at positions 523 to 796 of the family's 1533-position model. The record is from RNAcentral.
AUACAGAGGGUGCGAGCGUUAAUCGGAAUUACUGGGCGUAAAGGGCACGCAGGCGGCUGGGCAAGUCCAGUGUGAAAGCUCCUGGCUUAACUGGGAGAGGUCGCUGGAGACUGCCUGGCUUGAGGCAAUGAGAGGGGUGCGGAAUUUCCGGUGUAGUGGUGGAAUGCGUAGAUAUCGGGAGGAACACCAGAGGCGAAGGCGGCGCCCUGGCAUUGACCUGACGCUGAGGUGCGAAAGCGUGGGGAGCGAACGGGAUUAGAAACCCUAGUAGUCC